Molecule: non-coding RNA, 331 nt
Organism: Physcomitrium patens
Lineage: Eukaryota; Viridiplantae; Streptophyta; Bryopsida; Funariales; Funariaceae
Source: RefSeq, a predicted model, not a curated record
GCCAUUGGGAGAUGGAGGUUUGUAACCAAGUAGGUGACCAGGUUGAGCCCGAUCCCAAAGGCUGCCAAUCUCUCGCACAUCUCCGUCACUGCAUGAGAACACAUCUGAGUGAAUCCUAGGCUCCGGCUUUUCACAGAGCAUACAACUGCAGGAUCUUGAGAUAUUUUUUGGAACAUUUCAGCUGAAUCGGUAGAACAUGAAAUAAGCAACGAACCGAAGAUGAGCGGCGCGGCUUUCCAGCCUCCGGUGUGUCUCUUGUCUGCUUUCCUACCCUUGUAGUCCACAGUGCCAUCGUGAACCAGCCACCCAUCUGCUUCCUCCCUACUCUCCA